GAUGAACGCUAGCUACAGGCUUAACACAUGCAAGUCGAGGGGCAGCACUAGGUAGCAAUACUGAGGUGGCGACCGGCGCACGGGUGCGUAACGCGUAUCCAACCUUCCCGAUACUCUUGGAUAGCCUUCCGAAAGGGAGAUUAAUACAAGAUGGUGUUUCACUUUCGCAUGUUAUUGAAACUAAAGAUUUAUCGGUAUCGGAUGGGGAUGCGUGACAUUAGAUAGUAGGCGGGGUAACGGCCCACCUAGUCUACGAUGUCUAGGGGUUCUGAGAGGAAGGUCCCCCCACACUGGAACUGAGACACGGUCCAGACUCCUACGGGAGGCAGCAGUGAGGAAUAUUGGUCAAUGGUCGGAAGACUGAACCAGCCAAGUAGCGUGAAGGAUGAAGGUUCUAUGGAUUGUAAACUUCUUUUAUACGGGAAUAAAACCUCCCACGUGUGGGAGCUUGUAUGUACCGUAUGAAUAAGCAUCGGCUAACUCCGUG
Molecule: ribosomal RNA, 487 nt
Filed under: uncultured bacterium
Lineage: Bacteria
Description: bacterial SSU rRNA
Rfam family: Bacterial small subunit ribosomal RNA
Source: RNAcentral